RNAcentral lists this small RNA (337 nucleotides) under Arabidopsis thaliana (thale cress). RNAcentral describes it as "ATSL125180". Lineage: Eukaryota; Viridiplantae; Streptophyta; Magnoliopsida; Brassicales; Brassicaceae. The record is from RNAcentral.
UCAGAAAAAAAGGUUUUGGGGUCACGCGAGGCUCUUUUGGAAUCAAAACGAGUAGAAUAGAAAUAGACAUGAUUUUGUGGGUUUACCCCUAUAGAAAUUGAUGACACGCGCUCAACGCGAGGUUGGUGCGAAUGGGUAUGGAAUUGAGCGCGUGACGUGAAGUAGGUGCGAGUGGGCGUAUAGAGGAGCGCUGUGAUUGGCUGAAAAAAUGAAAAUAGUAGUGAUGUUCCUCCUCUAUAAUUUAUGUUUCGUCAUUCUUCUUCUGAAAGUUGUGUGAUUUUAGAAGUCACAAAAAAACUAUUUUGAGAUACUAUGAAUAUUUCGUUUUGCAUUUUGU